AGAUUGAACGCUGGCGGCAUGCCUUACACAUGCAAGUCGAACGGCAGCACGGGAGCAAUCCUGGUGGCGAGUGGCGAACGGGUGAGUAAUACAUCGGAACGUGCCCAAUCGUGGGGGAUAACGCAGCGAAAGCUGUGCUAAUACCGCAUAAGAUCUACGGAUGAAAGCAGGGGAUCGCAAGACCUUGCGCGAAUGGAGCGGUCCGAUGGCAGAUUAGGUAGUUGGUGAGGUAAAGGCGUCACCAAGCCUUCGGAUCUGUAGCUGGUCCUGAGAGGACGACCAGCCUACACUGGGACGUGAGACGACGGCCCAGACCUCCGUAGGGACGGCAGCAAGGUUCGGGGGUAAUUUUGGAACAAGUGGGACGGAAGCCGU
This 375-nucleotide ribosomal RNA is filed under the name uncultured soil bacterium. RNAcentral describes it as "bacterial SSU rRNA". It matches the Rfam family "Bacterial small subunit ribosomal RNA", at positions 26 to 385 of the family's 1533-position model. The record is from RNAcentral.